Molecule: transfer RNA, 67 nt
Filed under: Chaetocnema hortensis
Lineage: Eukaryota; Metazoa; Arthropoda; Insecta; Coleoptera; Chrysomelidae
Description: tRNA-Cys
Source: RNAcentral
AGUCUUAUAGUCAUAAAAUGAUAUUAAAUUGCAAAUUUAAAGGAGAGUAGCCUAAACUCUAAGGCUU